RNAcentral lists this ribosomal RNA (1343 nucleotides) under uncultured bacterium. RNAcentral describes it as "16S ribosomal RNA". It matches the Rfam family "Bacterial small subunit ribosomal RNA", at positions 28 to 1378 of the family's 1533-position model. The record is from RNAcentral.
GACGAACGCUUGCGGCGUGCUUAACACAUGCAAGUCGAACGGAAAGGCCCUGCUUUUGUGGGGUGCUCGAGUGGCGAACGGGUGAGUAACACGUGAGUAACCUGCCCUUGACUUUGGGAUAACUUCAGGAAACUGGGGCUAAUACCGGAUAGGAGCUCCUGCUGCAUGGUGGGGGUUGGAAAGUUUCGGCGGUUGGGGAUGGACUCGCGGCUUAUCAGCUUGUUGGUGGGGUAGUGGCUUACCAAGGCUUUGACGGGUAGCCGGCCUGAGAGGGUGACCGGCCACAUUGGGACUGAGAUACGGCCCAGACUCCUACGGGAGGCAGCAGUGGGGAAUAUUGCACAAUGGGCGGAAGCCUGAUGCAGCAACGCCGCGUGCGGGAUGACGGCCUUCGGGUUGUAAACCGCUUUCGCCUGUGACGAAGCGUGAGUGACGGUAAUGGGUAAAGAAGCACCGGCUAACUACGUGCCAGCAGCCGCGGUGAUACGUAGGGUGCGAGCGUUGUCCGGAUUUAUUGGGCGUAAAGGGCUCGUAGGUGGUUGAUCGCGUCGGAAGUGUAAUCUUGGGGCUUAACCCUGAGCGUGCUUUCGAUACGGGUUGACUUGAGGAAGGUAGGGGAGAAUGGAAUUCCUGGUGGAGCGGUGGAAUGCGCAGAUAUCAGGAGGAACACCAGUGGCGAAGGCGGUUCUCUGGGCCUUUCCUGACGCUGAGGAGCGAAAGCGUGGGGAGCGAACAGGCUUAGAUACCCUGGUAGUCCACGCUGUAAACGGUGGGUACUAGGUGUGGGGUCCAUUCCACGGGUUCCGUGCCGUAGCUAACGCUUUAAGUACCCCGCCUGGGGAGUACGGCCGCAAGGCUAAAACUCAAAGGAAUUGACGGGGCCCCGCACAAGCGGCGGAGCAUGCGGAUUAAUUCGAUGCAACGCGUAGAACCUUACCUGGGUUUGACAUGGAUCGGGAGUGCUCAGAGAUGGGUGUGCCUCUUUUGGGGUCGGUUCACAGGUGGUGCAUGCCUGUCGUCAGCUCGUGUCGUGAGAUGUUGGGUUAAGUCCCGCAACGAGCGCAACCCUUGUUCACUGUUGCCAGCACGUUAUGGUGGGGACUCAGUGGAGACCGCCGGGGUCAACUCGGAGGAAGGUGGGGAUGACGUCAAGUCAUCAUGCCCCUUAUGUCCAGGGCUUCACGCAUGCUACAAUGGCUGGUACAGAGAGUGGCGAGCCUGUGAGGGUGAGCGAAUCUCGGAAAGCCGGUCUCAGUUCGGAUUGGGGUCUGCAACUCGACCUCAUGAAGUCGGAGUCGCUAGUAAUCGCAGAUCAGCAACGCUGUGGUGAAUACGUUCCCGGG